GAGCACGUAGGUGGGUUUGUAAGUCAGAUGUGAAAGCUUUCUGUUCAACGGAAGAAUUGCAUCCGAAACUGCGAGUCUUGAGUGUAGGAGGGGAGAAUGGAACUUCUGGUGGAGCGGUGAAAUGCGUAGAUAUCAGAAGGAACGCCGGCGGCGAAAGCGACUCUCUGGCCUAUUACUGACACUCAGUGUGCGAAAGCUAGGGGAGCAAACGGGAUUAGAUACCCCGGUAGUCCUAGCCGUAAACGAUGGGCACUAAGUAGAGGGGUUUU
Molecule: ribosomal RNA, 269 nt
Filed under: uncultured Planctomycetota bacterium
Lineage: Bacteria; Pseudomonadati; Planctomycetota
Description: uncultured planctomycete partial 16S ribosomal RNA
Rfam family: Bacterial small subunit ribosomal RNA
Source: RNAcentral